GACGAACGCUGGCGGCGUGCUUAACACAUGCAAGUCGAACGGAAAGGCCCUGCUUUUGUGGGGUGCUCGAGUGGCGACCGGGUGAGUAACACGUGAGUAACCUGCCCUUGACUUUGGGAUAACUUCAGGAAACUGGGGCUAAUACCGGAUAGGAGCUCCUGCUGCAUGGUGGGGGUUGGAAAGUUUCGGCGGUUGGGGAUGGACUCGCGGCGUAUCAGCUUGUUGGUGGGGUAGUGGCUUACCAAGGCUUUGACGGGUAGCCGGCCUGAGAGGGUGACCGGCCCCAUUGGGACGGAGAUACGGCCCAGACUCCUACGGGAGGCAACAGUGGGGAAGAGUGCACUAUGGGAGGAAGCCUGAUGCAGCAAAGCCGCGUGCGGGAUGACGGCCAUCGGUUUGUAAACCGCAUUCGCCUGUGACGAAGCGUGAGUGACGGUAAUGGGUAAAGAAGCACCGGCUAACUACGUG
This 468-nucleotide ribosomal RNA is filed under the name uncultured bacterium. RNAcentral's name for it is "partial 16S ribosomal RNA". It matches the Rfam family "Bacterial small subunit ribosomal RNA", at positions 28 to 507 of the family's 1533-position model. The record is from RNAcentral.